RNAcentral lists this ribosomal RNA (497 nucleotides) under uncultured bacterium. Its description in RNAcentral is "partial 16S ribosomal RNA". It matches the Rfam family "Bacterial small subunit ribosomal RNA", at positions 28 to 507 of the family's 1533-position model. The record is from RNAcentral.
GAUGAACGCUGGCGGCGUGCCUAAUACAUGCAAGUCGAGCGAACAGACGAGGAGCUUGCUCCUCUGACGUUAGCGGCGGACGGGUGAGUAGCACGUGGAUAACCUACCUAUAAGACUGGGAUAACUUCGGGAAACCGGAGCUAAUACCGGAUAAUAUAUUGAACCGCAUGGUUCAAUAGUGAAAGACGGUUUUGCUGUCACUUAUAGAUGGAUCCGCGCCGCAUUAGCUAGUUGGUAAGGUAACGGCUUACCAAGGCAACGAUGCGUAGCCGACCUGAGAGGGUGGUCGGCCACACUGGAACUGAGACACGGUCCAGACUCCUACGGGAGGCAGCAGUAGGGAAUCUUCCGCAAAGGGCGAAAGCCUGACGGAGCAACGCCGCGUGAGUGAUGAAGGUCUUCGGAUCGUAAAACUCUGUUAUUAGGGAAGAACAAAUGUGUAAGUAACUAUGCACGUCUUGACGGUACCUAAUCAGAAAGCCACGGCUAACUACGUG